Molecule: ribosomal RNA, 253 nt
Filed under: uncultured bacterium
Lineage: Bacteria
Description: partial 16S ribosomal RNA
Rfam family: Bacterial small subunit ribosomal RNA
Source: RNAcentral
UACGUAGGGGGCAAGCGUUGUCCGGAAUCAUUGGGCGUAAAGCGCGUGUAGGCGGCCCGGUAAGUCCGCUGUGAAAGUCGGGGGCUCAACCCUCGGAUGCCGGUGGAUACUGUCGGGCUAGAGUGCGGGAGAGGCGAGUGGAAUUCCUGGUGUAGCGGUGAAAUGCGCAGAUAUCAGGAGGAACACCAAUUGCGAAGGCAGCUCGCUGGAACGUUACUGACGCUGAGACGCGAAAGCGUGGGGAGCAAGCAGG